AUUGAACGCUGGCGGCAGGCCUAACACAUGCAAGUCGAACGAGUGGCGGACGGGUGAGUAAUGUCUGGGAAACUGCCUGAUGGAGGGGGAUAACUACUGGAAACGGUAGCUAAUACCGCAUACCAUCGGAUGUGCCCAGAGGGGAUUAGCUUGUUGGUGGGGUAACGGCUCACCAAGGCGACGCUCCCUAGCUGGUCUGAGAGGAUGACCAGCCACACGGGAACUGGUACACGGUCUAGACGCCUACGGGAGGCAGCAGGGGUGAAUAUUGCACAAUGGGCGCAAUCCGGAUGCAGCCAUGCCGCGUGUAUGAAGAAGGCCUUCGGGUUGUAAAGUACUUUCAGCGGGGAGGCGUUACCCGCAGAAGAAGCACCGGCUAACUCCGUGCCAGCAGCCGCGGUAAUAC
Molecule: ribosomal RNA, 406 nt
Filed under: uncultured bacterium
Lineage: Bacteria
Description: partial 16S ribosomal RNA
Rfam family: Bacterial small subunit ribosomal RNA
Source: RNAcentral